GAGUUGAUCCUAGCUAGGACGAACGCUGGCGGCGUGCCUAACACAUGCAAGUCGAGCGGGGACAUGCGACGGAUCGGAAGUUUCGGAUGGAAGAGAAGAUGUAUGUUCUAGCGGCGGACGGGUGAGUAACGCGUGAGCAACCUGUCCUUCACAGGGGGAUAACACAGCGAAAGUUGUACUAAUACCGCAUAAGACCACAACGGGACAUCCCGAAGGGGUCAAAGGAGCAAUCCGGUGAAGGGUGGGCUCGCGUCCGAUUAGAUAGUUGGUGAGGUAACGGCCCACCAAGUCGACGAUCGGUAGCCGACCUGAGAGGGUGAUCGGCCACAUUGGGACUGAGACACGGCCCAAACUCCUACGGGAGGCAGCAGUGGGGAAUAUUGGGCAAUGGGGGGAAACCCUGACCCAGCAACGCCGCGUGAGGGAAGAAGGUUUUCGGAUCGUAAACCUCUGUCCUUGGUGAAGAGUAAGAGACGGUAGCCAAGGAGGAAGCCCCGGCUAACUACGUGCCAGCAGCGGC
RNAcentral lists this ribosomal RNA (520 nucleotides) under uncultured bacterium. RNAcentral's name for it is "bacterial SSU rRNA". It matches the Rfam family "Bacterial small subunit ribosomal RNA", at positions 9 to 518 of the family's 1533-position model. The record is from RNAcentral.